Molecule: long non-coding RNA, 1967 nt
Filed under: Erythranthe guttata (spotted monkey flower)
Lineage: Eukaryota; Viridiplantae; Streptophyta; Magnoliopsida; Lamiales; Phrymaceae
Description: long non-coding RNA (EGUT_LNC001157)
Source: RNAcentral
UUUAGUCGAGUCUCUAUAAUAAAUUUCAGUUGGAAUUCAAGUUGAAAUUGUAUCUCACUCCGUUUUUCUAUCUGCAAAAAAGAGUUACCAUCAAUAAAAAUUUAAAACGUGCAAGAAAACUACGAAUCCAAAGCUAAUCACAUUCACCUCACCCUUACUAAUCCAAAAUCACAUGCUGUAUAGAAAAUAAACUACGAAUGCAAUCAAAGAAUGCCGCUUCCAAACACAGAUUUUAUAUCUUGACAAAAUUAAUUUUAUAACAAAAAAAUUGUUCCGAGUACGAAACUAUCUCAUCUAAGAAAACUAAUCUCUGUCUCACAAUUGUGUCCGCCAAUUGUCACAACAUGCCUCCCAUAUUUUUCGGGCAAUUUUUUAACUAUUCUAACAUUGAACUUAAUUAAUGUGACAAAAAAAUAUUUUUUGUCGUAAAAAAUUUAGGCGACGGUUUAAGUUUUCGUCACAAUUUCUCAUCAAUAAUGGGAAAAUAAUUAUUUUUGUCACAAAGAUUGUCACAAAAGAAGUUUUUUUUGUAGUGAGAAGUCAGAAUGCCGCCGUUUCUCUAGUUUAUAUGGCAUCGAAAAAACCUUCAUUUAAGAACAUGAGCUUAAUUACUGCACAAAUAUUUUUCACUUCGAGCAAGACUACGGCAUAAAGAAAUUUGACACUAGCACUUUAUGCAAUAAAAAGAUUCUGCAUCUAACCCAUGAAAUAACUUCCGUGUAAGACUUCUCUUUACAAAAAGAACAAGAAUUGUAAAUAAAGGCUUGUUUUACUGGGACAUAGAAACAAAAGCAGAAUCUUGUUUUAAACUAAGGCAAUAAUAUAAAUGAAUGGCGAAAUGCCGAAAUCAAGUCUUUUAGCAAAUCUCUAUAUCGGAAAACCCACACUUUUCCAUAUCCCAUGAACGACAAAUCGGUAGAACGAUCUCCACUUUUGUUCAACAUACAUACCAUGGUGUGUGUGUGUGGUGUGUGGUGUGUGUUUGUGUGUGUGUGUGUGUGUGUGUGUGUGUGUGUGUGUGUGUGUGUGUGUGUGUGUGUGUGUGUGUGUGUGUGUGUGUGUGUGUGUGUGUGUGUGUGUCUAUAUAUACACAUUGUACUCACUUCCCUUAAUUAGAGCUAUCAUCUAUUAAGUCGCUACUCUCGCUAAGUAGCCAUAAAUCUGGCGCAACGGACAACGAGAAGAUUCCAAACUUCGCAUUUAUUACAACUUCCGUAUCUAUCCACGUGCUUCAAACGCACAUUUCAUCCCAUCGCUCAUUAGAUCAAAUUCAAAUAGAAUUUAAUCAUAAAAGCUAUCACUUUCCCCAAACAAAACAGACUUCAUCCAAACCCUUGUCACAACACACAACCUAUGUUAAACCUAAAAAAAUGCCAUUGACAAACAUAAAUAAAAAAAAAAAUGAAAAAAAUAAACAAGAGAACUCCCACCAUUGACAUACGAAUUGAAGACUGAAAUGUAGAAGAAAAGAAAAAAAAAUCUUAGUGUGUAAAAUUAAUCAGAUAAGAUAGUACCGAAAAUCAAUUACGCCCAAAAUAAAAUUAAAACGAAAGAAAGCUAAUUCAAUUACAUUCAACAAUUACUUAAUUUUCGAAAGAAAAAAAAAACUUUCAAAAAAAGCCGAAGAAAGGGAAAUUAAACCUGAACUGGUUACUGAAGAGAUUCCGACCAUCUACAGUUUCAAAUGCAGUGUAAGGAAUUUUCGUACGGAGUAACUCUAUCGGUACCAUGAAAGCAUAAAGACGAAUUGGAUUAAUCGUAUUUGAAGUGAUGGAGAGCUUACCGGAAUGGGAUGUAAAUAUUUAUCGAGGAAUCUCCGGCGAAUCGUUGGAAUCAGUUGGGCAGUGGCGAUCGGAAAUGGACUGGCUGGAUUCGAAUUAGAAUUUUAGGGAUUUGACGAAAGGGGGGAAAGGAAGAACAGAAGAGGGGAUAUAAAUCUGGUAAUGGAGUUUGGAGCUUGAAAGAAU